GCUCCCCGGAAGCCUUCGAUGGGCAGAAACUAAUCACAGUGAACUGGCAGCUUUCGCAUCAUAUGCAUUGGCAUUUCCGGCGAGCUUUCUGGCACUUGUGGAUACCUACGAUGUCUUGAAAUCCGGCAUUCCGAACUUUCUCGCAGUUGCCCUCGCUCUUCGGAUUUGUGGAUAUCAGCCUUUAGGAAUACGAAUCGACAGCGGGGACCUGUCGUAUUUAAGUCUUCAAGCGAGGGAAAUCUUGACGACUGUGGAGGCUGUGCUUGGCGCAGAGCGUGCGGGGGGGUUUACCAACCUCAGUAUCACGGCAAGCAACGACAUCAAUGAGGAGGUACUGCACUCCCUCAAUCAACACGGUCAUUCAAUUACUGCAUUCGGAAUAGGCACACAUCUUGUCACUUGUCUUCGGCAACCAGCUCUCGGAUGCGUUUACAAACUUGUUGAAAUCGACGGGGCACCUCGAAUAAAACUUAGCGAGGACGUGCAAAAAAUUACAAUCCCGGGCAGGAAGGAGGCGUAUCGGUUAUACCUCAAGAAUGGCGAGCCCGUUGUUGAUGUUAUGCUUCGGAUAGACGAACCACAACCAAGGGAAGGCGAGCGCAUAUUAUGUCGCCAUCCAUUCAUAUCAUCAAAGCGUGCUUAUGUCCAACCAGCACAUGUUCAACGCCUUCACAACCUUGUCUGGGAUGG
This 690-nucleotide long non-coding RNA is filed under the name Micromonas commoda. Its description in RNAcentral is "long non-coding RNA (MCOM_LNC000044)". Lineage: Eukaryota; Viridiplantae; Chlorophyta; Mamiellophyceae; Mamiellales; Mamiellaceae. The record is from RNAcentral.